AGGGGAGCGUUGUGUAAGCCUGUGAAGGUGUGCUGUAAGGCAUGCUGGAGGUAUCACAAGAGCGAAUGCUGACGUGAGUAACGACAAAACGGGUGAAAAGCCCGUUCGCCGGAAGACCAAGGGUUCCAGUCCAACGUUAAUCGGGGCUGGGUGAGUCGACCCCUAAGGCGAGGCCGAAAGGCGUAGUCGAUGGGAAAUUGGUUAAUAUUCCAAUACUUGUUUAUGAUGCGAUGGAGGGACGGAGAAGGUUAUGUCAGCCUGGCGUUGGUUGUCCAGGUGAAAAGAUGUAGAUAGGUUUAGUAGGCAAAUCCGCUAGACUAUUAUUGAGAUCUGAUAGCAAGCUGUACAUGUACAGCGAAGUGGCAAAUACCCUGCUUCCAGGAAAAGCUUCUAAGCGAUAGUUAUAAACAAAUCGUACCCGAAACCGACACAGGUGGUCAGGUAGAGAAUACCAAGGCGCUUGAGAGAACUCUGCUGAAGGAACUAGGCAAAAUGGUACCGUAACUUCGGGAGAAGGUACGCUGCCGAUGGUGAAGGGACUUGCUCCCCCAGCUGUUGGCAGUCGCAGAUACCAGGCUGCUGCAACUGUUUAUUAAAAACACAGCACUCUGCAAACACGAAAGUGGACGUAUAGGGUGUGAUGCCUGCCCGGUGCUGGAAGGUUAAUUGAUGGGGUUAGCGUAAGCGAAGCUCUUGAUCGAAGCCCCAGUAAACGGCGGCCGUAACUAUAACGGUCCUAAGGUAGCGAAAUUCCUUGUCGGGUAAGUUCCGACCUGCACGAAUGGCAUAAUGAUGGCAGCGCUGUCUCCAGCAGAGACUCAGUGAAAUCGAAAUCGCAGUGAAGAUGCUGUGUACCCGCGGCUAGACGGAAAGACCCCGUGAACCUUUACUACAGCUUUACAUUGAACUUUGACCUAACUUGUGUAGGAUAGGUGGGAGGCUUUGAAGUAGUGACGCCAGUUACUAUGGAGCCAACCUUGAAAUACCACCCUGGUUAUGUUGGGGUUCUAACUUCGAAUUAACAAAUUCAAGGACAAUGUAUGGUGGGUAGUUUGACUGGGGCGGUCUCCUCCUAAAGAGUAACGGAGGAGUACGAAGGUGCGCUCAGAACGGUCGGAAAUCGUUCAAAGAGUAUAAAGGCAAAAGCGCGCUUAACUGCGAGACCCACAAGUCGAGCAGGUACGAAAGUAGGUCUUAGUGAUCCGGUGGUUCUGUAUGGAAGGGCCAUCGCUCAACGGAUAAAAGGUACUCUGGGGAUAACAGGCUGAUACCGCCCAAGAGUUCAUAUCGACGGCGGUGUUUGGCACCUCGAUGUCGGCUCAUCUCAUCCUGGGGCUGAAGCAGGUCCCAAGGGUAUGGCUGUUCGCCAUUUAAAGAGGUACGCGAGCUGGGUUUAGAACGUCGUGAGACAGUUCGGUCCCUAUCUACCGUGGGCGUUGGAAAUUUGAGAGGAUCUGCUCCUAGUACGAGAGGACCAGAGUGGACGAACCUCUGGUGUUCCGGUUGUCACGCCAGUGGCAUUGCCGGGUAGCUAUGUUCGGAUGGGAUAACCGCUGAAAGCAUCUAAGCGGGAAGCCCACCUCAAGAUAAGAUUUCCCUAAAGAGCCGUUGU
This 1612-nucleotide ribosomal RNA is filed under the name metagenome. RNAcentral's name for it is "bacterial LSU rRNA". It matches the Rfam family "Bacterial large subunit ribosomal RNA", at positions 1230 to 2829 of the family's 2925-position model. The record is from RNAcentral.